GGGUUGUGAGGUUAAGCGACUAAGCGUACACGGUGGAUGCCCUGGCAGUCAGAGGCGAUGAAGGACGUGCUAAUCUGCGAAAAGCGCCGGCGAGGUGAUAUGAACCUUUGACCCGGCGAUGUCCGAAUGGGGAAACCCAGUGUGAUUCGUCACACUAUCGUUAACUGAAUACAUAGGUUAACGAGGCGAACCGGGGGAACUGAAACAUCUAAGUACCCCGAGGAAAAGAAAUCAACCGAGAUUCCCCCAGUAGCGGCGAGCGAACGGGGAGCAGCCCAGAGUCUGAAUCAGCUUGUGUGUUAGUGGAAGCGUCUGGAAAGUCGCACGGUACAGGGUGACAGUCCCGUACACGAAAGCACACAGGCUGUGAACUCGAAGAGUAGGGCGGGACACGUGGUAUCCUGUCUGAAUAUGGGGGGACCAUCCUCCAAGGCUAAAUACUCCUGACUGACCGAUAGUGAACCAGUACCGUGAGGGAAAGGCGAAAAGAACCCCGGCGAGGGGAGUGAAAAAGAACCUGAAACCGUGUACGUACAAGCAGUGGGAGCCUCUUUUAUGGGGUGACUGCGUACCUUUUGUAUAAUGGGUCAGCGACUUAUAUUCUGUAGCAAGGUUAACCGUAUAGGGGAGCCGAAGGGAAACCGAGUCUUAACUGGGCGUUAAGUUGCAGGGUAUAGACCCGAAACCCGGUGAUCUAGCCAUGGGCAGGUUGAAGGUUGGGUAACACUAACUGGAGGACCGAACCGACUAAUGUUGAAAAAUUAGCGGAUGACUUGUGGCUGGGGGUGAAAGGCCAAUCAAACCGGGAGAUAGCUGGUUCUCCCCGAAAGCUAUUUAGGUAGCGCCUCGUGAACUCAUCUUCGGGGGUAGAGCACUGUUUCGGCUAGGGGGCCAUCCCGGCUUACCAACCCGAUGCAAACUACGAAUACCGAAGAAUGUUAUCACGGGAGACACACGGCGGGUGCUAACGUCCGUCGUGAAGAGGGAAACAACCCAGACCGCCAGCUAAGGUCCCAAAGUCAUGGUUAAGUGGGAAACGAUGUGGGAAGGCACAGACAGCCAGGAUGUUGGCUUAGAAGCAGCCAUCAUUUAAAGAAAGCGUAAUAGCUCACUGGUCGAGUCGGCCUGCGCGGAAGAUGUAACGGGGCUAAACCAUGCACCGAAGCUGCGGCAGCGACACUAUGUGUUGUUGGGUAGGGGAGCGUUCUGUAAGCCGUUGAAGGUGUCCUGUGAGGGGUGCUGGAGGUAUCAGAAGUGCGAAUGCUGACAUAAGUAACGAUAAAGCGGGUGAAAAGCCCGCUCGCCGGAAGACCAAGGGUUCCUGUCCAACGUUAAUCGGGGCAGGGUGAGUCGACCCCUAAGGCGAGGCCGAAAGGCGUAGUCGAUGGGAAACAGGUUAAUAUUCCUGUACUUGGUGUUACUGCGAAGGGGGGACGGAGAAGGCUAUGUUAGCCGGGCGACGGUUGUCCCGGUUUAAGCAUGUAGGCGGAGGUUCCAGGUAAAUCCGGUUCCUUAUUAACGCUGAGGUGUGAUGACGAGGCACUACGGUGCUGAAGUAACAAAUGCCCUGCUUCCAGGAAAAGCCUCUAAGCAUCAGGUAACAUCAAAUCGUACCCCAAACCGACACAGGUGGUCAGGUAGAGAAUACCAAGGCGCUUGAGAGAACUCGGGUGAAGGAACUAGGCAAAAUGGUGCCGUAACUUCGGGAGAAGGCACGCUGAUAUGUAGGUGAAGCCCCUGCGGGUGGAGCUGAAAUCAGUCGAAGAUACCAGCUGGCUGCAACUGUUUAUUAAAAACACAGCACUGUGCAAACACGAAAGUGGACGUAUACGGUGUGACGCCUGCCCGGUGCCGGAAGGUUAAUUGAUGGGGUUAGCGGUAACGCGAAGCUCUUGAUCGAAGCCCCGGUAAACGGCGGCCGUAACUAUAACGGUCCUAAGGUAGCGAAAUUCCUUGUCGGGUAAGUUCCGACCUGCACGAAUGGCGUAAUGAUGGCCAGGCUGUCUCCACCCGAGACUCAGUGAAAUUGAACUCGCUGUGAAGAUGCAGUGUACCCGCGGCAAGACGGAAAGACCCCGUGAACCUUUACUAUAGCUUGACACUGAACACUGGUCCUUGAUGUGUAGGAUAGGUGGGAGGCUUUGAAGCGUGGACGCCAGUCUGCGUGGAGCCAACCUUGAAAUACCACCCUUUAAUGGCUGGUGUUCUAACGUAGACCCGUGAUCCGGGUUGCGGACAGUGUCUGGUGGGUAGUUUGACUGGGGCGGUCUCCUCCCAAAGAGUAACGGAGGAGCACGAAGGUUAGCUAAUCCUGGUCGGACAUCAGGAGGUUAGUGCAAUGGCAUAAGCUAGCUUGACUGCGAGAGUGACGGCUCGAGCAGGUGCGAAAGCAGGUCAUAGUGAUCCGGUGGUUCUGAAUGGAAGGGCCAUCGCUCAACGGAUAAAAGGUACUCCGGGGAUAACAGGCUGAUACCGCCCAAGAGUUCAUAUCGACGGCGGUGUUUGGCACCUCGAUGUCGGCUCAUCACAUCCUGGGGCUGAAGUAGGUCCCAAGGGUAUGGCUGUUCGCCAUUUAAAGUGGUACGCGAGCUGGGUUUAGAACGUCGUGAGACAGUUCGGUCCCUAUCUGCCGUGGGCGCUGGAGAAUUGAGGGGGGCUGCUCCUAGUACGAGAGGACCGGAGUGGACGCAUCACUGGUGUUCGGGUUGUCAUGCCAAUGGCACUGCCCGGUAGCUAAAUGCGGAAGAGAUAAGUGCUGAAAGCAUCUAAGCACGAAACUUGCCCCGAGAUGAGUUCUCCCUGAGACUUUAAGUCUCCUGAAGGAACGUUGAAGACUACGACGUUGAUAGGUCGGGUGUGUAAGCGCAGCGAUGCGUUGAGCUAACCGAUACUAAUGAACCGUGAGGCUUAACCUUACAACGCCGAAG
This 2927-nucleotide ribosomal RNA is filed under the name Enterobacter ludwigii. Its description in RNAcentral is "23S ribosomal RNA". It matches the Rfam family "Bacterial large subunit ribosomal RNA". The record is from RNAcentral. Lineage: Bacteria; Pseudomonadati; Pseudomonadota; Gammaproteobacteria; Enterobacterales; Enterobacteriaceae.